ACUUCUCUGGAGAUACCCUGGUAAGAUUGUUUACUAUUACGACAUCCGUGCAUCUUUUGCAUACACUACUAGGAAAAGGGCUAUAGAUGGGAUGGACACUAAUGGCCCACUGUACAUGUGGUGCGCCAUUACUAAAUACUAAUGGCGCACCAUGUGUUGGUGCGCCAUUAGUGUGCAAAUACUAAUGGCGCACCACAUCCCACGGUGCGCCAUUAGUAAAAUUUGUUUUAAUUUUUUCAAAACUACUAAUGGCGCACGGCGGGUGUGGUGCGCCAUUACUAUGUUGACAUAGUAAUGGCGCACCACACCCACCGUGCGCCAUUAGUAGUUUUGAAAAAAAAAAUUGUUAGUAAUGGCGCACCUGUGGACAGUGGGUGUGGUGCGCCAUUAGUAGUUUAACUAUCAAUGGCGCACCACCCCAUGGUUCGCCAUUACUAACAUGGCCCAAAAGUUCCCGAAUGCACCCCCCUCCUUGGAUCGCCUUUUCAGUUUUAAAAAAAAUAAAAGAAAAUGAUGGAAAUAUCAAAAAAAAUAAAAGAAAAUAAGUUUCCCAUGUGAUAUGUGGUAUAGUUGUUGGGAAAAUUUACAAAUAUGAAUUUCAACUUUAUUUGCAAAAUCUCUCUCGAAAUUUGUAAAAUGGGCAUAACUUUUGCAUACGAACUGGGAUGAAAAAGUUUUUUAUAUGAAAAAUCAUCUACUCGAAAAGUUAAAUCCAAAUUUAAUAGUGGGAACCCCGUUAAACAUUUUUUAAAUCCCCAAAAACCUAACAGAAAAAAAGUUGCGGGGCUUUCAAGAUCUAGAGGCAAAAAAAUUCGAAAAAUUUCAAACUUACUAGUGGCGCACCGUGGAUGUGGUGCGCCACUAGUAAUAGAAAAAAAAUUGGUUUUGGAUUUUUUUUGAAUUUUUUUCAAAAAAUGAUACGUAAUAUGACCGGGAAGUUUGAAAUAUUUUUCAAAAUUUGAUCAUAGUCAUGAACAUGAACAAAGUCCUAGACAUCAACAAGGUAUAAUAGGAUUGAUAUGCUAGAUAUAUCAACAAGUGCGUGUGAAGUGAGCUGUUGCUGGGGUUGGAUAGAACUCUGAAGUUAAGCGUGCUUGGGCUAGAGUAGUGUGAGGAUGGGUGACCUUUCGGAAGUUUGACCACGGAGUGCGAUUUGACCUGAGAUUAAGCAUAUUGACCCGAGAUUAAGCCAUAGUGAACUGAGAUUAAGAAAAAAACGAAAAAAAAAAUUUAAAAAAAUUUAAAAAAAAUUGAAAAAAUAUUGUUACUAAUGGCGCACUUCUAUGUGGUGCGCCAUUAGUAUACCAGAUACUAAUGGCGCAUCGUGGGCUAUUCUAAUGGCGCACUAGCGGGUGUGCCAUUAGUAUGCCAGAUACUAAUGGUGCACCACAGGUGCGCCAUUAGAAAAAAAAUCUAAUGGCGUCGUGCUAGUGGUGCACCUGUAGUGCGCCCUUAGUAGCGAAAACAGGUGCGCCACUAGCAGCCCUUUUUGUAGUAGUGAUACUUCUAAAACUAGUACAUCAUUGCUAACUACGAAGUUAUUAUUAUGUUUUUCAACAGAAACUCCCGAUGGAUUGUGUGCCUCAUCUGAUGUCUCUGCAUGGUCGCCUCUCAGUUCUGAACAUACUGACAGGUAAAUCUACGGAGCUCACAUGUGCAUAUCGGAUUUCUAAAACCCGUGAACACAUGUUCAUCAAAGAAUGGAAGAAAUGUAUGGACAUUCGCAAGGAGGUUCUUGGAAGUAACAUUCAGCGAAAGGCAAGAAU
This 1766-nucleotide long non-coding RNA is filed under the name Triticum aestivum (bread wheat). RNAcentral's name for it is "long non-coding RNA (TAES_LNC026698)". Lineage: Eukaryota; Viridiplantae; Streptophyta; Magnoliopsida; Poales; Poaceae. The record is from RNAcentral.